RNAcentral lists this transfer RNA (74 nucleotides) under Candidatus Woesebacteria bacterium. RNAcentral's name for it is "tRNA-Val". It matches the Rfam family "tRNA". From Rfam's summary of the family: Transfer RNA (tRNA) molecules are approximately 80 nucleotides in length. Their secondary structure includes four short double-helical elements and three loops (D, anti-codon, and T loops). Lineage: Bacteria; Candidatus Woeseibacteriota. The record is from RNAcentral.
GCUCGUGUAGCUCAGUUGGCUAGAGCGUUCGAUUCACAUUCGAAAGGUCCGUGGUUCAAGUCCACGCACGAGCA